UACCCGGUGACUGCGUGCGUCUAGCAUA
RNAcentral lists this small RNA (28 nucleotides) under Bombyx mori (domestic silkworm). RNAcentral's name for it is "ovarian small RNA-20671". Lineage: Eukaryota; Metazoa; Arthropoda; Insecta; Lepidoptera; Bombycidae. The record is from RNAcentral.